UGCGGUGGGGCCUGUGCUGGUACAGGCAGGCGCCUGUUAAGCGCCCCUUCGCCGGUUCGAUUCCGGCCGCCGCAG
This 75-nucleotide transfer RNA is filed under the name Pirellulales bacterium. RNAcentral describes it as "tRNA-Asn". The record is from RNAcentral. Lineage: Bacteria; Pseudomonadati; Planctomycetota; Planctomycetia; Pirellulales.